RNAcentral lists this ribosomal RNA (502 nucleotides) under Peptococcus sp. canine oral taxon 044. RNAcentral describes it as "bacterial SSU rRNA". It matches the Rfam family "Bacterial small subunit ribosomal RNA", at positions 9 to 477 of the family's 1533-position model. The record is from RNAcentral. Lineage: Bacteria; Bacillati; Bacillota; Clostridia; Eubacteriales; Peptococcaceae.
GAGUUUGAUUAUGGCUCAGGACAAACGCUGGCGGCAUGCCUAACACAUGCAAGUCGAACGGACGAGUUAGUGGAAAUUUUUCGGAAUGGAAACUAAUGCGUUAGUGGCGGAUGGGUGAGUAACGCGUGGAUAACCUGCCUCUAAAUGGGGAAUAACUACGAGAAAUCGUAGCUAAUACCGCAUAAUAUCUCUUUAUUGCAUGAUAGAGAGAGGAAAGACGGCCUUAGAGCUGUCGUUUAGAGAUGGAUCCGCGUCUGAUUAGCUAGUUGGUGAGGUAAGGGCUCACCAAGGCGACGAUCAGUAGCCGGCCUGAGAGGGUGAACGGCCACAUUGGGACUGAGACACGGCCCAAACUCCUACGGGAGGCAGCAGUGGGGAAUCUUCCGCAAUGGGCGCAAGCCUGACGGAGCAAUGCCGCGUGAGUGAAGAAGGCCUUCGGGUUGUAAAACUCUGUCCUUAUCGAAGAGAGAGAAGAGUAGUAACUGACUUUUCUAGGACGGUA